GGCCUCAUAGCUCAGUUGGCUAGAGCGAUGGCUGUACCAAAGCCCUCCCUUUGCUAGCGUUGGUUAGAAUCCCACCGAGGCCA
RNAcentral lists this transfer RNA (83 nucleotides) under Schistocephalus solidus. It matches the Rfam family "tRNA". Rfam says of the family: Transfer RNA (tRNA) molecules are approximately 80 nucleotides in length. Their secondary structure includes four short double-helical elements and three loops (D, anti-codon, and T loops). The record is from Rfam by way of RNAcentral. Lineage: Eukaryota; Metazoa; Platyhelminthes; Cestoda; Diphyllobothriidea; Diphyllobothriidae.